GAGAUGUUCCUACAGUUUAAGUGGAGUCAACCUGGGCUAAAUUCAGUUGAAUGGACAUGAUUUGGUAAGACACACACGUGUCUACAUAUAUGGUCCCACCGUUGUCAGACCAAGCAUGAAGUCCAAAGAAUUGUCUGUCGACCUCUGAGACAAGAUUGUCUCAAGGCACAAAUCUGAGGAAGGGUACCUAAACAUUUCUGCUACUUUGAAGGUCCCAAUGAGCACAUUGGCCUCCAUCAUCUGGAAAUGGAAGAAAGUUCAGACCCACCAGGACUCCUCCUUGUGCUGGCCGCCUGUCUAAACUGAGGAAUCGUGGGAGAAGGACCUUAGUCAGGGAGGUGACCAAGAACCCCAUGGUCACUGUGUCAGAGCUCCAGUAUUCUUCUGUGGGAGAGA
Molecule: long non-coding RNA, 396 nt
Organism: Thalassophryne amazonica
Lineage: Eukaryota; Metazoa; Chordata; Actinopteri; Batrachoidiformes; Batrachoididae
Exons: 3
Source: RefSeq, a predicted model, not a curated record